CCUACGGGUGGCUGCAGUGGGGAAUUUUGGACAAUGGGCGCAAGCCUGAUCCAGCCAUUCCGCGUGAGUGAAGAAGGCCUUCGGGUUGUAAAGCUCUUUCGCAAGGGAAGAAAACUUAUCCUCUAACAUAGGAUGAGGUUGACGGUACCUUGAUAAGAAGCACCGGCUAACUACGUGACAGCAGCCGCGGUACUACGUAGGGUGCGAGCGUUAAUUGGAGUUACUGGGCGCAGUUUUGGAGCUCGGUUGUGAAAUCCCCGAGCUCAACUUGGGAACUGCGUUUGAAACUACAAGACUAGAAUAGGUCAGAGGGGGGUAGAAUUCCACGUGUAGCAGUGAAAUGCGUAGAGAUGUGGAGGAAUAUCAAUGGCGAAGGCAGCCCCCUGGGAUCAUAUUGACGCUCAUGCACGAAAGCGUGGGGAGCAAACAGGAUUAGAUACCCUUGUAGUC
RNAcentral lists this ribosomal RNA (450 nucleotides) under uncultured bacterium. Its description in RNAcentral is "partial 16S ribosomal RNA". It matches the Rfam family "Bacterial small subunit ribosomal RNA", at positions 338 to 795 of the family's 1533-position model. The record is from RNAcentral.